Molecule: ribosomal RNA, 460 nt
Filed under: uncultured bacterium
Lineage: Bacteria
Description: partial 16S ribosomal RNA
Rfam family: Bacterial small subunit ribosomal RNA
Source: RNAcentral
CCUACGGGAGGCAGCAGUGAGGAAUAUUGGUCAAUGGGCGCGAGCCUGAACCAGCCAAGUAGCGUGAAGGAUGACUGCCCUACGGGUUGUAAACUUCUUUUAUAAAGGAAUAAAGUGAGGCACGUGUGCCGUUUUGUAUGUAAUGUAUGAAUAAGUAUAGGCUAACUCCGUGCCAGCAGCCGCGGUAAUACGGAGGAUCCGCGAGUUAUCCGGAUUGAUUGGGUUUAAAGGGAGCGUAGAUGGGUUGUUAAGUCAGUUGUGAAAGUUUGCGGCUCAACCGUAAAAUUGCAAUUGAUACUGGCAGUCUUGAGUACAGUUGAGGUAGGCGGAAUUCGUGGUGUAGCGGUGAAAUGCUUAGAUAUCACGAAGAACUCCGAUUGCGAAGGCAGCUUACUAAACUGCCACUGACAUUGAUGCUCGAAAGUGUGGGUAUCAAACAGGAUUAGAUACCCCUGUAGUC